This is a long non-coding RNA of Xiphophorus maculatus (southern platyfish), 1183 nucleotides long. RefSeq lists it as uncharacterized. The transcript has 4 exons. The record is from RefSeq and is a predicted model, not a curated record. Lineage: Eukaryota; Metazoa; Chordata; Actinopteri; Cyprinodontiformes; Poeciliidae.
CAGCUCUGGAUAGACCACGCGAGGUUCUGCAGGUGUCCCACCCUUCUCUUGAGGCAAGGAUGCUCCAGAAGUGACGGAAUAAGGAGAAUGGUUGAGAAAGAAGGGGAUGCAAAGGGAAAUUCAACAAAGCACUCCAGGACACGCUCUACAGCAAGAUGCCGCGACUGCAUGUGUUUGGUAUGGUCAGAGGCUGAAAGCUGGUCAGUGGGUGACCUGCGCGGGAUGCCUGGGUGACAUCUGACCUCUGACUGGGCGUGCGGAUUGACCCUGGAGGACAAGGUCCGACAAUGCGAGGCACGUGCCGUGGCCUAAUCUCCAUGUUUUAUGACGUUGUCACAAAGGAGGAGCUUUCUGAUGUGGAUGGUACUGCAUCAGGAACUGAUUGGCUGAUGCUUCACUGCCAACAGUACCUGAUGCAUUGCCUUCAGCAUCGAAAGAAACGUCGCAUGACUCCAGCUGCUUUUGAUCAAACUUACUCACAGAUUUUCUACAGACAGUAACAAACUUUGAUGGUAUUCUUUGUGUUUCAUGUUUGAAAAUAAAUAUUUGUGCAUGCAUACAUUAGUCAAACCUCUGACCUCUGAUGUCUGGCUGAAAUGGUUAUGAACAUUUUCCAACUUAUAGGAAUGAUAUAUUUAUGUCUGUGUUUGUGUUCUCUGGUGUAUAAUAUUUUCCCUCCUCAAGUCUAAACCACUACUUUUCUGUUAGCUUGUCACAUAAAAUUUCAAUAAAGUGCAUUAAAUUUAUUGUUUAAACAUGGAAAUGUCAUAACCUUUGUGUCACACCAACCUGAAUAUAAAUAUAUCUCAUUACUAUCUAAGGAAUCAUGUUCCUCUCCUGUUCGGAUUAGACACCUGGAUGCUUUUAGGCCACACCUCAGUACUCAAUGACUCACUGUACAUUUAGAUUGACCUUUAAUAAUUUGAUUAACUGAUUUGAAUAACUGUAAGUUGCAUGAGGAGAGUUUCUCACACUCAAGUAUGUAUAAACACCCAUGUCGGGGCUAAUUUCUGUCUACAAUAGUUCUGGAGCGAAUAUGAGAAGGAGGAAGGUUCUCUCAUCUACUUAUCAGUGUUGGAUCAUUUUUGCCUUGAUAUGCAUUUGAUUAAUUCUGUGGUUUGUCCCUUUGUUGUAGCAUGUUUAAUCACUUGCCAAGUUAAAUAAAUGUUCAUCAAAAGUAAAA